AGACAGGCUCUGAAGCAAAUCCUGAAGACCAGCACAAGUUGGAUUCCCACACUGACAACACCUCCAGGAACCUUUACCUUUGAUCUGAUAAGCACCAUCAUUGAAGAUGAUAUGGAAGACAUCAUAGACAGAACGGUUGGCAUCCAACAAGUUGGAGUUGCGAUGGUAGCACACAAAGCCAUGGGUCCCACGAAGUACAAGGAUGGGCCGGUUAAUCAGCUUGAGAACAAAUUCCUCAUCCUCCCCUGCAUUCAAAGAAGUGCUGAUAUAUUUGCCAUUGCCAGCUUUGAGGGCUAUGCGGCGGCCACGCCACUCAAUGUCAAACAUAGUGCUGGCAGAUCUAGAGGACCAAGGCAGAGAAGCAUUCAAGAUGAAAUGUACUGAAGUUCAUUUGGAUAAAGCAACUUUUCUGUGCCAUCUUUACCCUCUCGGUUAAAUACAUUCCUGCUGCUUUAUUCUGAAUUUGUUCAAGUUUAACCUCCAGCCUUUGUUUUUGUUUGUUUGUUUGUUUGUUUUUGAUUAAAGUGUGCAUAAGUAUUUCCAGAUUGCCUGUUUAAAACAAAAGGCAAGCUUUGCUAUACAUUAAUGGCAAAAUAAAGGAACAACGAAAUGAAUAAUAGGAGACCUGUGAUAGGAUCACCCAUGGUUUGAAAGAAUGCUAAAUUACUCUUAGUUGAAACAGCUUCGCAGAGGGGACAAAUUAACUGAGGUUGAGGUCAUGA
This is a long non-coding RNA of Anolis carolinensis (green anole), 722 nucleotides long. RefSeq lists it as uncharacterized. NCBI's taxonomy places the organism in Eukaryota, Metazoa, Chordata, Lepidosauria, Squamata, Anolidae. The transcript has 4 exons. The record is from RefSeq and is a predicted model, not a curated record.